CAGUUAUACAAUCUAUUAGAUAUGAUAAAGUCCUAUAAUAUCUAACAAAAUACUUUAUUCCUCCCAAUAAAGUUAAAACAACACACUCAUUAUUAGGUCAGCAAGGGUCGUCAUCCCUGAGAGUUGAUAGCCCAAUAUAAAAUAUCCGCAUCCUGUCAUUACCAUUGGAAGGGUUAAGAACUAUGAAAAGGCAUCAAGACCAGCAAAUGGCGCAUAAUCACUAAUAGAGAUAUCUUUUGUUGAAGGAUAUACACUAAUUCCUGAUAGUCAAUCAAUGUAACUCUUGCCAUCCCAACCAAUUUCCGAAGAUUUGAAAAGGUCGGCAUUCCAAAGAGAACCAAAAAAGUAACAUAGUGCUUUAUAUUCAAAAGAAAAAAAGGGAAUCACUUAAAGAUAGUAAAUUAUGUAUUUUACUAUCCUAUGUUCCUCCAAAACUCCCUUUUCAAUUGAAAAAUAUUCAUCAACAAAUCUCCUCCCUAAAUUGAUCUUCCUUUACUUUAUUCCUCACUUCCCAGUAUUGUUAAAAACUCUAUAGCUUGAUUCAUUAGUAAACAACUCUUCUCUUUGCUACAACCUAAUAGACAUUGUUCUUACAUUCCGCCUCUAAGUCUCAGGACUAAGUGUAAAGUGGACUCUUUUUGAAUGUUGUAAUCAGAGAGAGUUCUACCAUCCUCUAAUUGUUUUCCUGCAAAGAUCAAACGUUGUUGAUCAGGUGGGAUUCCUUCCUUAUCUUGAAUCUUUGCCUUAACAUUCUCAAUUGUAUCUGAAGGCUCAACUUCCAAAGUGAUAGUCUUUCCUGUCAAAGUCUUAACGAAAAUCU
Molecule: non-coding RNA, 820 nt
Filed under: Cryptosporidium parvum
Lineage: Eukaryota; Apicomplexa; Conoidasida; Eucoccidiorida; Cryptosporidiidae
Source: RNAcentral